CUCUGCUAAUGACAUGGAAACCAGCAGAGGUGCUAAGCACAUAUUGUGUGUGUGUGCAUUCCCAUCACUCAUUGCAGAUCCUCUGACAAUUAUUUAGCCUUCCCCAUGACACAGAAUCCAGACACAUCUGUGCAGCACUGGAUGAAAGAUGCUUCGGUCUGUCAGAAGGCCGGAAUCCACUGACCUUUUAUACACACAUAUUACAAACAAACAGAUCACAGGUAAGAAUUUGAACCUUGAUUAGCUAUUUAAACCUGUUUGUUUCAACUUUUGUGCAUGUUAUCAGAUCACAGUCACUGGGGUGUGUAAACUUUUGAUCAGGGUCACUUGGGUACUUUCUUUGGUCUUUUUGAUUUAAACAUAAUUGUUUGCCAAUAAAUAAGUUCACACAACC
This is a long non-coding RNA of Nerophis ophidion (straightnose pipefish), 394 nucleotides long. RefSeq lists it as uncharacterized. The transcript has 3 exons. NCBI's taxonomy places the organism in Eukaryota, Metazoa, Chordata, Actinopteri, Syngnathiformes, Syngnathidae. The record is from RefSeq and is a predicted model, not a curated record.